This 249-nucleotide ribosomal RNA is filed under the name Staphylococcus aureus. RNAcentral describes it as "partial 23S ribosomal RNA". It matches the Rfam family "Bacterial large subunit ribosomal RNA", at positions 321 to 570 of the family's 2925-position model. The record is from RNAcentral. Lineage: Bacteria; Bacillati; Bacillota; Bacilli; Caryophanales; Staphylococcaceae.
GGACGAAAUUAGACGAAUCAUCUGAAAAGAUGAAUCAAAGAAGGUAAUAAUCCUGUAGUCGAAAAUGUUGUCUAUCUUGAGUGGCUCCUGAGUACGACGGAGCACGAGAAAUUCCGGCGGAAUAUGGGAGGACCAUCUCCGAAGGAUAAAUACUCUCUAGAGACCGAUAGCGAACCAGUACCGUGAGGGAACGGUGACAAGCUCCCCGGAAGGGGAGUGAAAAAGAACCUGAAACCGGGUGAUUACAAA